CCUCGGACUCGGUCUCGCCCAGGAACCUGGUCACGUCGUCCAGCACCACGUCGACGGGGUACGUGGCCAGGACGCCGUGGCAUACGCGGCGCCCCUUCUGGACGCGCACGUCGAGGACGCGCGCGCCCAGCGCCAGCUGCUCGUACACGGACAGCGACUGGCACUGCGCGAAGGGGCGGGUCACGAACGGCACGCCGAUCCGGUCGGUGGCCGAGUCGUGCGUGCCGGGCCACACCACCUGGUGCACGCGCAGCCUGCCGGCGCCCAGCUCCGCCAUCCACCGCUUCCGGUCCGCCGGCCGGUGCUCAGACCCCGGGAACGUGUCGCCCGACGACGACAGCCGCGUCGCCAGCGCCCGCUUCUCGGCGGCCACCAGCUUCCGCCGGUCCACCUGCUUCGAGAAGAAGGCGCCCAUGGCUUCGUCCACCGGGUUGGUGGCUGCCGUUGUUGCCAGCGCUGCUGCUAUUGGGGGGCAGCCAUGGAUGGAUAAAUAAAGGGUCCUGUGCCUCGAGCUCUGACCUGGACCUGGACGUCGAGAUUGAUUGAUAGCUGCUAGCUAGCAACACAAACAAGGAAGAAAAAUAUCAAUGCGUGUGAUUAGCCAACAACAUGCAUGCUCGGGCGCUCGGCUGAUCGAGCCCUAGCGGUGAGGAGGAAGGAAGGGACGGACGGCGUGUUCUUGUCACCUCCGCUGCGGUUUCUCCCAAAAAGACUUCGGUUUCCUUGGAUUGGAAUUGGAUGCUACGAUUGGCGUUAUGGUGUUGAUGCCAGGCCAGGCGACAGUUUUUUUUCCCUUCCCAAAAUCACUACUACUAGAGAGAGGUUAACUGGUUCGUUCGGGGCAUGGGCGGGGUAGUUUUUAUUUAUUUAUUUAUGGCGAGACGGUGACGGAAUCGAGUCCACAAGCCAAAAGGACACGGUUUAUGCCAUUAUGGACGGACACGCGAUGCCAUUGGCGACCUGGAGAGGUGAAGGUUCUUCCAGUUCCAUGUUGGCGCAAUAAUUUGUCAAGCAAAUGCAGCAAACUUUUGUUGCCGCAGAGUAGCCACGACGACGUAAAUGCAUGCAAAUAUAUGAGCACUAUUUUUAUAUUACUAAGAAUAGUGUUAAACAUAUCAAUAAACCUAGAUGUUCUAUAAAAAGGAAGUUUAGAUUUAACAAUUAAACUUUAAAACUAUAUUAUGAGACGGGGGUAGUUUUUAUACUAAUGGUUGAAGUUUUUGAAAAAAGAACAACCAGUGCUAUUCUACGAAUUGCUUGGAAACCGACGUUAUUUUCUUAACGUCUUCUCAAACCAGUGUUGUUUUGUGAAUUCUCUCUGUGGGACUCAGGAAGCCUGAAUAUCAUAAGACGUUUGAUUUUUUAAAAAGAAAAUGUAUUGUUUCAAUCAUAUAUCUAGACAUAGCGUAUUUCGCAAAGGGCGAGAGUAUUAUUCAAUAUUGAGAUAUCGUCCAAGAAAGAAAUGUUGUGGAUUACGGCGUUAGGGGCCUGUGCAGCGUUCUCAGAGUUGAGAGCUCGCGCGUCACCUUCACCAUGGGUGCUCUGGGUGUUGGUAAUAAGGUCGCAUGUCCAUGGUGUCUGCACUGCACCUAGCACGAAAUGCCCUGUCGGUCAUCGGGUGUUGCGCCCUCUUGGCCUCAUUCUCCUUCGCCGACGAUGAUGGUCGAGGCAAGGUGGAUUAAUUUGGUCACCGUACCGGACCAGGGCACAACGAGGUGGCGUGGUGCAGCCCGGUGCGGUGCCGACGACAAGUGCACAUGGAAGCAAGGAUCCUCGUGGACAUGGUGGACCUCUGGAUGGAAACAAGACCGUCGGCUUGACAUGUCCUUGCUAGUUUCAUCACUGCUU
RNAcentral lists this long non-coding RNA (1848 nucleotides) under Zea mays. RNAcentral describes it as "long non-coding RNA (ZMAY_LNC001236)". Lineage: Eukaryota; Viridiplantae; Streptophyta; Magnoliopsida; Poales; Poaceae. The record is from RNAcentral.